UCAAAGUUAAGAGUGUGUGUUUGUGAGUGUGUUCUUCAUUUGAGAGAAUUGUGGGUGUGAAGGGAAAGCAUUGAAGAUUGAAGAAAAAAAGGGUUUUAGAUCUCCAUUUUUCAGCUCAUAGUAAGGGCAGGUGUGUAGGCCAGUCGUUUUGUGUGCAACUGUUGCAACGUGUGUCGAUGCGUUUCACUACUCAGGGAAGUACCUUGUCGCGAGCUCUAAGAGGAGGAAGAUGUGCAUCUUGAGGCUUGAAGUUGGCAAUUGUCUCUUAGUUAGAUAGUUGCCUUCGACUUGAGUUUAAUUUUUGUAAUAUAUCUCAGCAGUAUUACUUAAAUUCUCACUGUAACUCAUGAGAUGGAAUUGGAAUUGUAGACCUUUAUU
Molecule: long non-coding RNA, 378 nt
Organism: Cynara cardunculus var. scolymus (artichoke)
Lineage: Eukaryota; Viridiplantae; Streptophyta; Magnoliopsida; Asterales; Asteraceae
Exons: 3
Source: RefSeq, a predicted model, not a curated record